This 369-nucleotide ribosomal RNA is filed under the name uncultured bacterium. Its description in RNAcentral is "bacterial SSU rRNA". It matches the Rfam family "Bacterial small subunit ribosomal RNA", at positions 527 to 896 of the family's 1533-position model. The record is from RNAcentral.
GUAGGGUGCAAGCGUUAAUCGGAAUUACUGGGCGUAAAGCGUGCGCAGGCGGUUUUGUAAGUCUGACGUGAAAUCCCCGGGCUCAACCUGGGAAUUGCGUUGGAGACUGCAAGGCUGGAGUCUGGCAGAGGGGGGUAGAAUUCCACGUGUAGCAGUGAAAUGCGUAGAGAUGUGGAGGAACACCGAUGGCGAAGGCAGCCCCCUGGGUCAAGACUGACGCUCAUGCACGAAAGCGUGGGGAGCAAACAGGAUUAGAUACCCUGGUAGUCCACGCCCUAAACGAUGUCUACUAGUUGUCGGGUCUUAAUUGACUUGGUAACGCAGCUAACGCGUGAAGUAGACCGCCUGGGGAGUACGGUCGCAAGAUUA